This 290-nucleotide long non-coding RNA is filed under the name Dasypus novemcinctus (nine-banded armadillo). Its description in RNAcentral is "lncRNA (ENSDNOG00000051620.1)". Lineage: Eukaryota; Metazoa; Chordata; Mammalia; Cingulata; Dasypodidae. The record is from RNAcentral.
GAACAGUGCACAGAUAGACCACUUUCAUCCUCACAGGAAGAUCUAUUGGACAGCACAGCUUUGGAAGGGUUCUCAGCCUAGGACAACAUGGGAGUUUCUAAACCAGCUGGGCUGGAGGAUACGCCUGACCAAUCAAUCCAACCAGCCGCUCCUCAGCCUCUUCCCUCAAGCCCUCACCUGGAAGAACAGGCUGACCUAUGGCCAAUUCCUGUGAGGCCAAGGACCCAGGAUCCCAGGGAAACUGCUGGAGUGUGGUUCAGAGUAAUAAUUAAUUUCAAGCAUUUCACCUC